RNAcentral lists this ribosomal RNA (201 nucleotides) under uncultured bacterium. Its description in RNAcentral is "partial 16S ribosomal RNA". It matches the Rfam family "Bacterial small subunit ribosomal RNA", at positions 1300 to 1500 of the family's 1533-position model. The record is from RNAcentral.
GCAGGCUGCAACUCGCCUGCAUGAAGUUGGAAUUGCUAGUAAUCGCGAAUCAGAAUGUCGCGGUGAAUACGUUCCCGGGCCUUGUACACACCGCCCGUCACACCAUGAGAGUCGAUAACACCCGAAGCCUGUGAGCUAACCGCAAGGGGGCAGCAGUCGAAGGUGGGGUUGAUGAUUGGGGUGAAGUCGUAACAAGGUACC